RNAcentral lists this ribosomal RNA (579 nucleotides) under Coenagrionidae sp. 1 BM-2008. RNAcentral's name for it is "partial 12S ribosomal RNA". The record is from RNAcentral. Lineage: Eukaryota; Metazoa; Arthropoda; Insecta; Odonata; Coenagrionidae.
AGGCAAAAGAUUAWUAUUGGUUGGUAGUAUUUAUUMUAUUUUUAUUAUCUUUUAAAAUUUUAGGUCAAAUUUAUAUUUUUUUUAUAUAAUAUUUAUUUAAUAUUCUACGAAAUUUAGAUUAUAACCAAGGAUUAGAUKCCCUUUUAUACUGAAUGUUAAUAUUACACCUGGGUAGUAAUAGUUAAGUUCUUGAAACCCAAAGAAUUUGGCGGUAUUUUAGUCUUUUCAGAGGAACCUGUUGUGUAAUUGAUAAUCCACGAUUUUAUUUACUUAUAAUUGUAUUCAGCUUUUAUACCUCCGUCAUAAGAAUAUUUUUUUAGAAUAAAUUUUCUUGAUUGUUAAAUGCAUAAAUGUCAGGUCAAGGUGAAGCUUAUGUAUAAGUACUAAUGGGUUACAAUAAAUUUAUUUAUACGAAUCUUUUAAUUUAUAUUAAAAUUGAAGGUGGAUUUGUAAGUAAAACUAAUUAAUUACUUUGUUUGAUUUUAGCUCUAAAAUAUGCACACAUCGCCCGUCGCUCUCAUAAUAAGGUGAGAUAAGUCGUAACAUAGUAGAUUUAUCGGAAGAUGAAUCUAGAAAGUA